Long non-coding RNA from Mus pahari (shrew mouse), 660 nucleotides. RefSeq lists it as uncharacterized. The record is from RefSeq and is a predicted model, not a curated record. The transcript is spliced from 7 exons. NCBI's taxonomy places the organism in Eukaryota, Metazoa, Chordata, Mammalia, Rodentia, Muridae.
ACAAAUAUUUAGAUACUUCUUUCCAGUAUGAAUUAUAUCUUUCUGUUUUGAAAUUUCACACUUUCUGUCAUUGUUUUCUAUGUAGAUUCUACUUGUUCUAAUAUUGUACACUCAGGCUCGUGUUUAUGCAGUAAAAUAUAAUAGGAAAAUGAUUGACACCAAUUUCAAAACUGAGACAGACAACAAAACUUGACUUUCAGCUAUAUUUGGAAAUUCUAAAUUUUCCUCUGAAAAUUCUGCAAAUUGCUCUCUAAAGCAGAGGCAAAAAGACCAACCUGAGAGACACUGCUGGAAUAAAUUAGAGGUGAGUGAGAAAAAGAUGGAAGGCUUACACCUUUGGCAUUGACCUCUAACAUAUUUGGUUAUAUGAUAACAUGAAUACUUAAUUUUGGAUAAUCUGAGCUUCUCUGUCAUUUAAUGAGUGAAUGUAACAAUCCACAGACCCAGGAUUUUUCAUUUCUUCUAGAAAUGUCAUCCAGGAAGAAGUUUCCCAAGCAUAUUUAAGUGAGCAUUUAAAUGGAAACAAAGUUGGGUUAAACGGGACCAUGCAGGUCUGCGGCUUGUCAGAAGGCUCUUGCUGUAGACUGACAACAAGCUGCUGUUAAGGAGGAGGCUUGCUCGGGAAACCUUCAGAUGAAAAGGAAAAGGAAACGUCACCAU